AAGUGGCGGAACCGGGCUGAGGAGGAAUCGACCUUCUGACUCCCAGGCUCGUGCUCUACCCGCUACGCUACGCUGCUUCAAGCGUUGCUUAGAAGACAAGCUCUCUAUCCUCCGGGAGCUUCCAGGCUUUUUUGUGCAGGGCACUGUACUAAGCGUUAGGAAGAGGAAAGGGAAGAGGCUGGAAGGAAGGAGGAAGAAACGCUGGAAUUUCUUCAGAGGGAAAACCCAGUGGAGCAGGAAGAGACGUACUGACGACAGAGCCUCCUUAAGAAACUUACCACGGUCAAGAUCCAAGGUGCAUUCGGGGCUUCUCACGAUGAUGCUGGCGAUGGUGGCGUCUCCCAUCGGACAGAGCGGACGAAGACUCGGCCCCCAGAAUGAAGGCCAUCUCCUGACGUCGGAGGUCUGCUCACCUCAACCGAAGUCGGUCCCAAGCGAUGAAGUCCUAGAGUGAAGUCGGAGACCGAUCAGAUCAAUCAGAUCAUCAGAUCAAUCACAUCAUCAGAUCAAUCCUCACUUCAGCACAGGAUUCGGUGGAGUAAGACAGAGAUCUUCUAAAAACCUAUCCAGCCCAAAUCCUUGAUGUGACUCUCUGCUUUCCAGUCUUCUGGUGGGAGAUGAAAGCCUUCCGUGGGCAGGACCCGAGACCCCCUCGCAGUAGAAGGAAAUGUUCUCGAGAGGGAAAUGAGCAUGUUCAAGCUGCUGCAAACACCUCCGUCCAACAAAAUGCAAAAAAAAAAAAGCCGCCUGAUGGGUCUCCACGACGGGAUAUGGAAACUGGGAAAAUCAUCUGCGUUCGUUGCUGUUUAGAGGAUGGCUUUGAUAGACACUCCCCUAGACAAAGAGAGCACUAAGAACAGAGAAUUGCACCCGAGUUGGAGAUGUGAUUAUUACUGCGUUUGAUGUGAUUACUCUGUCUACAUCCCAGCACUUAGGACCAAAAGAGCAAAAGGAAGGUCCGCUGGAAAAGAUCCGAUGACUCCAUCCUGAUGUUUCAAUGACUUUGGCAUUCGCACUCCCGAGAACCCUCCCUAUCACCUGGCCUGCUGUGUGACCCCUGGCCAGCUGCCUCUGGCCUGGAACGCCUUGCCGCCCCCACCUUCAGACCCGACAGUCCAUUCACGAGAAGCAGCGUGGCCUACUGGCUGGACCCCAGGCCUGGGAGUCAGACGUCUUGGAUUCUGUUCCCCGCUC
This is a long non-coding RNA of Ornithorhynchus anatinus (platypus), 1194 nucleotides long. RefSeq lists it as uncharacterized. The transcript has 9 exons. The record is from RefSeq and is a predicted model, not a curated record. NCBI's taxonomy places the organism in Eukaryota, Metazoa, Chordata, Mammalia, Monotremata, Ornithorhynchidae.